UCUUUUUGGAGUGUGGUCAUC
Molecule: non-coding RNA, 21 nt
Organism: Caenorhabditis elegans
Lineage: Eukaryota; Metazoa; Nematoda; Chromadorea; Rhabditida; Rhabditidae
Source: Ensembl